UCCCUGGUGGCUCAGAGGGUAAAGCGUCUGCCUACAAUGCGGGAGACCCGGGUUCAAUCCCUGGGUCGGGAA
Molecule: transfer RNA, 72 nt
Filed under: Odocoileus virginianus texanus
Lineage: Eukaryota; Metazoa; Chordata; Mammalia; Artiodactyla; Cervidae
Also listed under: 5 other names
Rfam family: tRNA
About the family: Transfer RNA (tRNA) molecules are approximately 80 nucleotides in length.
Source: Rfam by way of RNAcentral